UGCAGUCGAGCGGGGACUUCGGUCCUAGCGGCGGACGGGUGAGUAACGCGCGGUAACGUACCCUUUGCUACGGAAUAGCCUCGGGAAACUGGGAGUAAUACCGUAUGUGUCCUUCGGGAGAAAGAUUUAUCGGCAAAGGAUCGGCCCGCGUUGGAUUAGGUAGUUGGUGGGGUAAUGGCCUACCAAGCCGACGAUCCAUAGCUGGUUUGAGAGGAUGAUCAGCCACACUGGGACUGAGACACGGCCCAGACUCCUACGGGAGGCAGCAGUGGGGAAUCUUAGACAAUGGGGGAAACCCUGAUCUAGCCAUGCCGCGUGAGCGAUGAAGGCCUUAGGGUUGUAAAGCUCUUUCGGGGGGGAAGAUAAUGACUGUACCCCCAGAAGAAGCCCCGGCUAACUCCGUGCCAGCAGCCGCGGUAAUACGGAGGGGGCUAGCGUUGUUCGGAAUUACUGGGCGUAAAGCGCACGUAGGCGGACCGGAAAGUCAGAGGUGAAAUCCCAGAGCUCAACUUUGGAACUGCCUUUGAAACUCCUGGUCUUGAGGUCGAGAGAGGUGAGUGGAAUUCCGAGUGUAGAGGUGAAAUUCGUA
This 589-nucleotide ribosomal RNA is filed under the name uncultured bacterium. RNAcentral describes it as "bacterial SSU rRNA". It matches the Rfam family "Bacterial small subunit ribosomal RNA", at positions 56 to 692 of the family's 1533-position model. The record is from RNAcentral.